This 283-nucleotide ribosomal RNA is filed under the name uncultured Erysipelothrix sp. Its description in RNAcentral is "partial 16S ribosomal RNA". It matches the Rfam family "Bacterial small subunit ribosomal RNA", at positions 1104 to 1382 of the family's 1533-position model. The record is from RNAcentral. Lineage: Bacteria; Bacillati; Bacillota; Erysipelotrichia; Erysipelotrichales; Erysipelotrichaceae.
UUCGUCUUUAGUUUACCUAUCAUUAAGUUGGGGACGUCGUAGAGAGACUGCCGGUGGAUAAACCGGAGGAAGGUGGGGAGUGACGUCAAAUCAUCAUGCCCCUUAUGACCUGGGCUACACACGUACUACAAUGGCGCAUACAACGAGCUGCAAGAUGGUGACAUCAAGCGAAUCUCUUAAAAUGCGUCUCAGUUCGGAUUGGAGUCUGCAACUCGACUCCAUGAAGUCGGAAUCGCUAGUAAUCGCGGAUCAGCAUGCCGCGGUGAAUACGUUCUCGGGGUUU